This 423-nucleotide ribosomal RNA is filed under the name uncultured bacterium. RNAcentral describes it as "bacterial SSU rRNA". It matches the Rfam family "Bacterial small subunit ribosomal RNA", at positions 207 to 622 of the family's 1533-position model. The record is from RNAcentral.
AAGACCUUGCGCUUUUGGAGCGGCCGAUGUCUGAUUAGCUGGUUGGUGGGGUAAUGGCCUACCAAAGCUUCGAUCAGUAGCUGGUCUGAGAGGACGGCCAGCCACACUGGGACUGAGACACGGCCCAGACUCCUACGGGAGGCAGCAGUGGGGAAUUUUGGACAAUGGGCGCAAGCCUGAUCCAGCCAUGCCGCGUGAGUGAAGAAGGCCUUCGGGUUGUAAAGCUCUUUCAGCCGGGAAGAAAAGGCUGCGACUAAUAAUCGCAGUUCAUGACGGUACCGGAAGAAGAAGCACCGGCUAACUACGUGCCAGCAGCCGCGGUAAUACGUAGGGUGCGAGCGUUAAUCGGAAUUACUGGGCGUAAAGGGUGCGCAGGCGGUUUUGUAAGUCAGAUGUGAAAUCCCCGGGCUUAACCUGGGAACU